CCCGCACAAGCAGCGGAGCGUGUGGUUUAAUUCGAUGAUACACGAAGAACCUUACCAAGGUUUGACAUGCAAGUGGUAGUGAACUGAAAGGGAACGACCCUUCGGGGAGCUUGCACAGGUGCUGCAUGGCUGUCGUCAGCUCGUGUCGUGAGAUGUUCGGUUAAGUCCGCUAACGAGCGCAACCCUCGUCGUGUGUUAUACGUGUCACACGAUACUGCCGGUAUCAAGCCGGAGGAAGGUGGGGAUGAUGUCAAGUCAGCAUGGCCUUUAUAUCCUGGGCUACACACACGCUACAAUGGCAGAUACAAUAGGUCGCGAAACCGCGAGGUGGAGCCAAUCCUCAAAGUCUGUCUCAGUUCAGAUUGUAGGCUGCAACUCGCCUGCAUGAAGUCGGAGUUGCUAGUAAACGCAGGUCAGCUAUACUGCGUUGAAUACGUUCCCGGGGCUU
RNAcentral lists this ribosomal RNA (448 nucleotides) under uncultured Leptolinea sp. RNAcentral's name for it is "bacterial SSU rRNA". It matches the Rfam family "Bacterial small subunit ribosomal RNA", at positions 920 to 1382 of the family's 1533-position model. The record is from RNAcentral. Lineage: Bacteria; Bacillati; Chloroflexota; Anaerolineae; Anaerolineales; Anaerolineaceae.